GAUGAACGCUGGCGGCGUGCCUAAUACAUGCAAGUAGAACGCUGAAGGAAGGAGCUUGCUCUUUCCGGAUGAGUUGCGGACGGGUGAGUAACGCGUAGGUAACCUGCCUGGUAGCGGGGGAUAACUAUUGGAAACGAUAGCUAAUACCGCAUAACAGUAGAUGUUGCAUGAUGUCUACUUAAAAGGUGCAAUUGCACCACUAACAGAUGGACCUGCGUUGUAUUAGCUAGUUGGUGAGGUAACGGCUCACCAAGGCGACGAUACAUAGCCGACCUGAGAGGGGGAGCGGCAAAACUGGGACGGGGACACGGCCCAGCACCCUGCGGGUGGGAGCAGUAGGGGACUCUCGGCAAUGGAAGGAAGUCUGACCGAUGAACGCCGGGUGAGUGAAGAAGGUUGUCGGGUCGUGAAGGUGAGUUGGAAGUGAAGAACGAGUGUGAGAGUGGAAAGUGCACAUUGUGACGGUACCUGAACAGAAAGCGACGGCUAACUACGUG
RNAcentral lists this ribosomal RNA (497 nucleotides) under uncultured bacterium. RNAcentral describes it as "partial 16S ribosomal RNA". It matches the Rfam family "Bacterial small subunit ribosomal RNA", at positions 28 to 507 of the family's 1533-position model. The record is from RNAcentral.